AUGGGACACAUUGAGGCAAAAGUCAGGCUUGAUAAGCAAACUCCUUAUAGAAACAGACAUGGUUAUCCGUCUCAAAAUGUAAUGGCAGUAGUGUCAUUUGACAUGACAUUCACUUAUGUCGCUGCUGGAUGGGAGGGUUCUGCAGAGGAUCAAGCUGUUCUAAGAUGGGCUGUGACUAGUGGGGGUUUAGUUGUUCCUGAAGGUAAAUUUUACCUUGUUGAUUCAGCUACGCAAAUACUCCAAGAUUUAUUGCCCCGUAUCGUGGAGAUCGCUAUCAUAUUGCUUCUUUUCGUGGAAGUAAUCGGCGAUAUACUAGUGAGAAGGACUUGUUCAACCAUCUACAUGCACAGUUGCGGAAUGUUGUUGAACGAACUUUUGGUGUUCUAA
RNAcentral lists this ribosomal RNA (387 nucleotides) under Triticum aestivum (bread wheat). RNAcentral describes it as "partial small subunit ribosomal RNA". Lineage: Eukaryota; Viridiplantae; Streptophyta; Magnoliopsida; Poales; Poaceae. The record is from RNAcentral.